Molecule: ribosomal RNA, 600 nt
Filed under: Phauda mimica
Lineage: Eukaryota; Metazoa; Arthropoda; Insecta; Lepidoptera; Zygaenidae
Description: partial 12S ribosomal RNA
Source: RNAcentral
UGCGGUUAUACAAAAAUUAAAUUUAUUUUAUUUAGUUAAUAAUAAAUAAUUUUAUAAAAUAAUUUAAAUUUUAAAUUUUUAAGUGAAAUUUUAAUUUAAGUAAAAUUUAUUUUUUUUUUAUGAAUUAUAAAAUUUUAUUAUAAACUAGGAUUAGAUACCCUAUUAUUAAAAAUUUAAUUUUAAUACUAAAAUAGUAAAUAAUAUUAUUUAUUGAAACUUAAAUAAUUUGGCGGUAUUUUAGUUCAUUUAGAGGAAUCUGUUUAAUAAUUGAUAAUCCACGAAUAAAUUUACUUAAUUUAAAAUUUUAUAUAUCGUUGUUAAAAAAAUAUUUUUUUAUAAAAAUAAUAUUUUAAAAUUUAAUUUUAAAAUUAAAUCAGAUCAAGAUGUAGAUUAUAAUUAAGAAUAUAAUGGAUUACAAAAAAUUUAUUUAAUAUGGAUUUUUAUUUGAAAAAAUAUAAUUAAAGUGGAUUUAAAUGUAAUUUUAUUUAAUUUAAUAAAAUGAUUAAAAAUUGAAAUAUGUACAUAUUGCCCGUCACUUUCAUUAAUAAUUUGAAAUAAGUCGUAACAAAGUAGAAGUACUGGAAAGUGUUUCUAGAAAGA